This 258-nucleotide long non-coding RNA is filed under the name Salvia miltiorrhiza (redroot sage). RNAcentral describes it as "long non-coding RNA (SMIL_LNC000085)". The record is from RNAcentral. Lineage: Eukaryota; Viridiplantae; Streptophyta; Magnoliopsida; Lamiales; Lamiaceae.
GCUUAUUAUGUCCGGAGGCGUAAAAAGGAGAGGCCAACAAAUAUGAAGUCCCUCCCCAAAGAGCUAUUGUUCGAAAUCCUCCUCCGUGUCCCGGCCGAUCAUCUCUACGAGAGAGCGAGGCUCGUGUGCCGGCGGUGGUACCACAUUAUCCAUUCUCAUGCCUUCAUCAACGCGCAGAUGCACGGUGCUACCUAUGGACUCCUCCUAUCACCCGUAAAGUAUAAUACUCUGCCACUUUAUGUAACAGCCGACGCAUAC